This 490-nucleotide ribosomal RNA is filed under the name uncultured bacterium. RNAcentral's name for it is "partial 16S ribosomal RNA". It matches the Rfam family "Bacterial small subunit ribosomal RNA", at positions 30 to 507 of the family's 1533-position model. The record is from RNAcentral.
AUUGAACGCUGGCGGCAUGCUUUACACAUGCAAGUCGAACGGCAGCGGGGUAGUGCUUGCACUACUGCCGGCGAGUGGCGAACGGGUGAGUAAUAUAUCGGAACGUACCGAGUAAUGGGGGAUAACCAAUCGAAAGAUUGGCUAAUACCGCAUACGUCCUGAGGGAGAAAGCGGGGGAUCGCAAGACCUCGCGUUAUUCGAGCGGCCGAUAACUGAUUAGCUAGUUGGUGGGGUAAAGGCCUACCAAGGCGACGAUCAGUAGCGGGUCUGAGAGGACGAUCCGCCACACUGGGACUGAGACACGGCCCAGACUCCUACGGGGGGCAGCAGUGGGGAAUUUUGGACAAUGGGGGCAACCCUGAUCCAGCCAUGCCGCGUGUAUGAAGAAGGCCUUCGGGUUGUAAAGUACUUUUGUUAGGGAAGAAAAGGGAAGUGCUAAUACCACUUUUUGCUGACGGUACCUAAAGAAUAAGCACCGGCUAACUACGUG